AGCGAACGCUGGCGGCAGGCUUAACACAUGCAAGUCGAGCGGGCAUCCUUGUGGUGUCAGCGGCUGACGGGUGAGUAACGCGUGGGAACGUGCCCUUCGGUUCGGAAUAACUCAGGGAAACUUGAGCUAAUACCGGAUACGUGCGAGAGCAGAAAGGUUUAUCUGCCGAGGGAUCGGCCCGCGUCUGAUUAGCUAGUUGGUGAGGUUAUGGCUCACCAAGGCGACGAUCAGUAGCUGGUCUGAGAGGAUGAUCAGCCAAACUGGGACUGAGACAGGGCCCGACUCCUGGCGGAAGGCGGAAUUGGGGAUCAUUGGACACUGGGGCAACGCUGAUCCAGCCAGGCCGCGUGAGUGAUGACGGCCUUAGGGUUGUAAAGCUCUUUUCUUCGAGACGAUAAUGACGGUACCGGAAGAAUAAGCCCCGGCUAACUUCGUG
RNAcentral lists this ribosomal RNA (436 nucleotides) under uncultured bacterium. Its description in RNAcentral is "partial 16S ribosomal RNA". It matches the Rfam family "Bacterial small subunit ribosomal RNA", at positions 29 to 507 of the family's 1533-position model. The record is from RNAcentral.